RNAcentral lists this long non-coding RNA (1934 nucleotides) under Papio anubis (olive baboon). RNAcentral describes it as "lncRNA (ENSPANG00000039499.1)". Lineage: Eukaryota; Metazoa; Chordata; Mammalia; Primates; Cercopithecidae. The record is from RNAcentral.
CUAAUAUGGUAUAUAUACUGUAAACCUGUAUUUAUUAAAAUAUGAAUGGUGAAAAUAAUAUAUUAAUUUGUAUUCUCAUAAAACUAUGAAGGAAACGACCAAAGUUUUGUCAAAAACUGCCUCCUUUCUAAAAACAUUUCCAUAUAAUUUUAUUUUGGAAUUUAUUUUAUAAUGUGAUAAACAAAAUAUUUUAUUUCAAAAAGGGUCCCAACUUGGCAUAUAUAGAUGUAAUUCUGGUCUAUCAUUGCAUACCUGGCCACUGAAAUAUGAGCCAUAAGGUAAAAGGAAGCAAUGUCUACUGAUGUUUAUGGAAGAAAGGAGAAGACCCUUCACCACAAUAGAAAUUUGUGAGCUGCUGGCAUGGCAGGGAACUUGGCGACAGCAUAUCCAAUGAACAUGGGGAGAAUGAAAGACUGAUGGAGUUAACAUCUUUCCCAAGCUCAUGCAGUCAGCUGGUGAGGAGAAGGCAAUAGUGAGGUCAAGACUCCUAGGAUGCUGGGCGCGGUGGCUCACGCCUGUAAUCCCAGCACUUUGGGAGGCCGAGAUGGGCGGAUCACGAGGUCAGGAGAUCGAGACCACCCUGGCUAACACGGUGAAACUCUGUCUCUACUAAAAUACAAAAAAAAAUUAGCCGGGCGUGGUGGCGGGCGCCUGUAGUCCCAGUUACUCAGGAGGCUGAGGCAGGAGAAUGGCGUGAACCCGGGAGGCGGAGCUUGCAGUGAGCUGAGAUCGCACCAGAGCACUCCAGCCUGGGUGACUGAGCAAGACUACAUCUCAAAAAAAAAAAAAAAAGACUCCUAGGAUGCCCGACCCUAUGCUCUCUCCAUGAGUAUCUGCCUCCCAGUUUAAAGUUUAGUAAUACCCAAGUUUUGAAAUAUGUCUUUCAUCGCAUUUGAAAGCUAAAUAAAUACAUACAUCUCAUUAGUUUAAGAAUCCUAAAAUAUCUGUGUCUUCAUUGCUUCUGUUUUAUUACUGUGCGGUAUGAUUCUGGUUUUGCGUCUGGGAAAUGAGUUAAUCAUGACCCUUCCUUACAGCCCUCUGAGACAGGGAGCCUCAUUACGGUGCCUUCAUUUUCCAGAUGAAGAAACACAGCAGCAAGAGGUUCUCCGAGAGGUAAUAGAAGGCUCCAGGUGGGUGUUUGUUGACUUGAGGGUGUUUGAUCUGGCAGUGCUUCAACACUCUGUGUGGGAGCGUGCUGGCUCACUCCAGAGCUUACUCACUUUCAGGAGCCACAGGAUGAACACAAGGUACAGGUUUUUCACUUGUUUUUCUCUUUGUUUUUUUAAACAGCUUUAUUGAGGUAUAAUUGAUAUAUUAAAAAACUGCCUUUGGGAGGCCGAGGUGGGGGGAUCACGAGGUCAGGGGUUUGAGACCAGCCUAGCCAACAUAGUGAAACCCCAUCUCUACUAAAAAAUAAAAUACAAAAAAUUAGCUGGGCGUUGUGGCGGGUGCUUGUAAUCCCAGCUACUUGGGAGGCUGAGGAAGGAGAAUUGCUUGAACCCAGGAGGUGGAGGUUGCAGUGAGCCAAGAUCGUGCCACUGUACUCCAGCCUGGGAGACAGUGUGAGACUCCAUCUCAAAAAAUAAACAAACAAAAAAACUGCACAUAUUUAAUGUAUACAAUUUGAUGAAUUUGGACAUAUGCAUACACUCAUGAAACCAUUGCCACCAUCAAAGUAGCAGAUAUAUUCGUCACUUCCAAAAAUUUCCUUCUGUCCCUUUGUUCAGUGGUAAGAAUAUUUGACAUGAGAUCCACCCUCUUAAAUUGCAACACGCACAAUUUAGUAUUGUUAACUACAGACAGUAUGUUGUAUAGCAGAUCUCUAGAACUUACUCAUCUUGCAUAACUGAAACUUUAUACCAAUUGAACCACAUCUCCCUAUUGCUCUUUCAUUUUUAAUUCUGAAAGCAGUAGAAGAAUGAUAUAGGAUUUUU